RNAcentral lists this ribosomal RNA (1104 nucleotides) under Triticum aestivum (bread wheat). RNAcentral's name for it is "partial small subunit ribosomal RNA". The record is from RNAcentral. Lineage: Eukaryota; Viridiplantae; Streptophyta; Magnoliopsida; Poales; Poaceae.
AUGGCCGGCGGGAGCAAGAAGCCGUAUGUGGUCGCUGUGGCAAUCCAGACCAUCAACAUGGGCACCUUCAUCGUCUCCAAGGCCGCCUUCGACAGUGGCAUGAACACCUACGUCUUCAUCUUCUACCGCCUCGCCGCCGCCACCGCGCUCCUCCUCCCAAUGGCGCUUAUCGACUGCGCUUGCCGCCGGAGCCGAUCAACAACCUCAACACCAGCACAAGCGAUGUCAUGCCGGCUGCUUUUCAAGUUCUUCAUAUAUGCCUUGCUCGGGAACACAUUUACCCUCAACCUGUACCACGCGAGCCUGAAGCAGACCUCCGCAACGGUGGCUUCGGCAGCCACCAACUCCAUGCCCGUCGUCACCUUCCUCCUCGCGCUGGUUCUGGGGAUGGAGACAAUCAAAUUUCAUAGGCGCUCUGGUUUAGGCAAGCUCGCAGGUGUAGCACUCUGCCUCGCCGGAGUGCUCGUCGUCGCCUUCUACGCCGGCCCGUCCAUACGCCCCCUCGCCCAUCACCCUGUCUUCCCUCACAUGACGCAGAAUGUCGGCAAUGAAGUGUGGAUCAGAGGCACAUUCCUUCUCAUCCUCUCUUGCACAACCUGGUCUCUCUGGAUUAUCUUGCAGGUUCCAUUGCUCAUGGAAUAUCCUAACAAGCUGAUGGCUACCGCGAUGCAAUGCAUGUUUAGUGCACUCCAGUCCUUUGUCGUCGCAGUGGUGGUAGAGAAGGACUUCACCCAAUGGAAGCUUGGGCUAGACAUUGGCUUCCUUGCGGUCCUCUACUCGGCCUUCUUGGGGACGGGUGCGUUGAUGUACCUACAAGCAUGGUGCGCGGAGAUGAGUGGUCCGGUGUUUGUCGUGAUGUGGAAUCCAUUGGCUUUGGUUUUCACUAUGUUUUGCUCAUCAUUGUUCCUCGGAGAAGUUGUCCACUUGGGGAGUAUUUUGGGAGGGUUUCUUUUAGUUGGUGGUCUAUAUAGCGUGCUUUGGGCUAAAAGCAACGAAAAGAAAAAUAAGACACUACAAGUGAUGCCAGUGAAAAGUCAAGGUCAAGAAGAUGAAGCGACAACACAGGAAAACUGCGAAGAGGCAAAACUAACAUCACAAGUAUAA